GAUGAACGCUAGCGGCAGGCUUAAUACAUGCAAGUCGAGGGGCAGCAGGGGUGUAGCAAUACACUCGCUGGCGACCGGCAAACGGGUGCGGAACACGUACGCAACUUACCCAAAACUGGGGAAUAGCCCGGGGAAACCCGGAUUAAUACCUCGUAACAUAAUGAAGUGGCAUCACUUUAUUAUUAUAGCUCCGGCGGUUUUGGAUGGGCGUGCGCCUGAUUAGGUAGUUGGCGGGGUAACGGACCCACCAAGCCUACGAUCAGUAACUGGUGUGAGAGCACGACCAGUCACACGGGC
RNAcentral lists this ribosomal RNA (297 nucleotides) under uncultured bacterium. RNAcentral's name for it is "partial 16S ribosomal RNA". It matches the Rfam family "Bacterial small subunit ribosomal RNA", at positions 28 to 317 of the family's 1533-position model. The record is from RNAcentral.